UGGGGAAUUUUGGACAAUGGGGGAAACCCUGAUCCAGCUAUCCCGCGUGUGCGAUGAAGGCCUUCGGGUUGUAAAGCACUUUUGGCAGGAAAGAAACGACAUGGGUUAAUACCCCGUGAAACUGACGGUACCUGCAGAAUAAGCACCGGCUAACUACGUGCCAGCAGCCGCGGUAAUACGUAGGGUGCAAGCGUUAAUCGGAAUUACUGGGCGUAAAGCGUGCGCAGGCGGUUCGGAAAGAAAGAUGUGAAAUCCCAGAGCUCAACUUUGGAACUGCAUUUUUAACUACCGGGCUAGAGUGUGUCAGAGGGAGGUGGCAUUCCGCGUGUAGCAGUGAAAUGCGUAGAUAUGCGGAGGAACACCGAUGGCGAAGGCAGCCUCCUGGGAUAACACUGACGCUCAUGCACGAAAGCGUGGGGAGCAAACAGG
Molecule: ribosomal RNA, 429 nt
Filed under: Acidobacteriota bacterium
Lineage: Bacteria; Pseudomonadati; Acidobacteriota
Description: Acidobacteria bacterium partial 16S ribosomal RNA
Rfam family: Bacterial small subunit ribosomal RNA
Source: RNAcentral